UACGUAGGGGGCAAGCGUUAUCCGGAUUUACUGGGUGUAAAGGGAGCGUAGGUGGCAUGGCAAGCCAGAAGUGAAAACCCGGGGCUUAACCCCGCGGAUUGCUUUUGGAACUGUCAGGCUGGAGUGCAGGAGGGGCAGGCGGAAUUCCGUGUGUAGCGGUGAAAUGCGUAGAUAUACGGAGGAACACCAGUGGCGAAGGCGGAUUGCUGGACAGUAACUGACGCUGAGGCGCGAAAGCGUGGGGAGCAAACAGG
This 254-nucleotide ribosomal RNA is filed under the name uncultured Eubacteriales bacterium. RNAcentral's name for it is "uncultured Clostridiales bacterium partial 16S ribosomal RNA". It matches the Rfam family "Bacterial small subunit ribosomal RNA", at positions 524 to 776 of the family's 1533-position model. Lineage: Bacteria; Bacillati; Bacillota; Clostridia; Eubacteriales. The record is from RNAcentral.